UCGUAGGGUGACUCGUCUGGUUAACUCCGAUAACGAACGAGAUCCCGACCUCUCAUUGUCUGCAGGAUCGCUCUGUAGGUUUGACCUUGACCCUCGUGGUUUCUUGGGAAGGCUGAGAUGGCUGUAGAAAAGUCAGAGGGACGGCGCAUGUCGACAAUGCGCGGAAGAGCGGGCCAAUAA
Molecule: ribosomal RNA, 180 nt
Filed under: uncultured eukaryote
Lineage: Eukaryota
Description: partial 18S ribosomal RNA
Rfam family: Eukaryotic small subunit ribosomal RNA
Source: RNAcentral